This is a long non-coding RNA of Hyla sarda, 577 nucleotides long. RefSeq lists it as uncharacterized. NCBI's taxonomy places the organism in Eukaryota, Metazoa, Chordata, Amphibia, Anura, Hylidae. The record is from RefSeq and is a predicted model, not a curated record. The transcript has 3 exons.
UGUGCCCUCCCUGCAGCAAGGGGGCGCCACUCACCCUGUCAUUAUCUGCUAUUUCUAAGCUUCUCUCCACACGGAGGAGACAGGAGCAGCGGAGGCAGAGAGAAGCCCCGCCCACAGCAUGUCCGGACACACACUUCAAUCUAUGCAGCCCUUACUAUUUUGACAAAAAACCUCCACCUUUCGGUAUUCAAGAGCAACAGAGGCAUCUUGGAUUAUUAUAUGCAAAAGUACUAAUGAAGUACUAAAAGACUAACGAAUCUCCAGAAAGGGUACGCUUUAAGCCAAUGGCUAAAGUACAGGGAGCAGCACUGUGCAGAGGAAGAGUGGCCCUGACUAUACAGAUUGCAGUACUUGGACCCAGCCCUGUGAACAUGUGCUAGAAGCUAGACGGCAAUCAAAGCAUAAUUUCGAUGGACAGUGAUCAAAUCUAAAUUCUUCUGAUUCCAAAGCUGUAUUAUUUAAAACUGUAUUCAAGACACUGCAUAUCUCUGCAAAAUGAGUUAUGUUUGCAAGUUGUUUCCAGACCUCCUAGCUUCAUGGGUCUCAUUCCUGUGCUUUUGAUACAUGGACAGCUUUA